CUUCUGCUGUGAUGAUUUAUGAAUAAAUUCACAUGUCAGACUUCAGAGAUUUUUGCGAAAAAAUCUAUGAGAAUACAUUUCAUUUUUCCUGAGCAGGAG
RNAcentral lists this small nucleolar RNA (99 nucleotides) under Erythranthe guttata (spotted monkey flower). Its description in RNAcentral is "Mimulus guttatus (spotted monkey flower) Small nucleolar RNA R64/Z200 family". It matches the Rfam family "Small nucleolar RNA R64/Z200 family". From Rfam's summary of the family: This family of plant small nucleolar RNAs belong to the C/D class of snoRNA which contain the C (UGAUGA) and D (CUGA) box motifs. This family includes Arabidopsis thaliana snoRNA R64 and Oryza sativa snoRNAs Z200 and J16. The record is from Rfam by way of RNAcentral. Lineage: Eukaryota; Viridiplantae; Streptophyta; Magnoliopsida; Lamiales; Phrymaceae.